CAAAGUGUAGCUUAAACAAAAGCACCUGGCUUACACCCAGAAGAUUUCACUUAUUAGACCACUUUGA
Molecule: transfer RNA, 67 nt
Filed under: Tamandua tetradactyla (southern tamandua)
Lineage: Eukaryota; Metazoa; Chordata; Mammalia; Pilosa; Myrmecophagidae
Description: transfer RNA-Val
Rfam family: tRNA
About the family: Transfer RNA (tRNA) molecules are approximately 80 nucleotides in length. Their secondary structure includes four short double-helical elements and three loops (D, anti-codon, and T loops).
Source: RNAcentral